This 77-nucleotide transfer RNA is filed under the name Anaerolineae bacterium. RNAcentral describes it as "tRNA-Val". It matches the Rfam family "tRNA". Rfam says of the family: Transfer RNA (tRNA) molecules are approximately 80 nucleotides in length. Their secondary structure includes four short double-helical elements and three loops (D, anti-codon, and T loops). The record is from RNAcentral. Lineage: Bacteria; Bacillati; Chloroflexota; Anaerolineae.
GGGCGAGUAGCUCAGUUGGUUAGAGCGUGCGGUUCACAUCCGCAAGGUCAGGGGUUCGAGUCCCUUCUCGCCCACCA